This is a long non-coding RNA of Daucus carota subsp. sativus, 4814 nucleotides long. RefSeq lists it as uncharacterized. NCBI's taxonomy places the organism in Eukaryota, Viridiplantae, Streptophyta, Magnoliopsida, Apiales, Apiaceae. The record is from RefSeq and is a predicted model, not a curated record. The transcript has 4 exons.
UGAGAGAUAUCAAUUUCUAUAUGCUCAGGAGAAAAUAUAGUUUAUUUGGAUAUUUUCAUAUCGAUUUAUGGAAUGUUAGAUGAUUUUAUAAUCGAUUUACGGAUUUAAUUGCGUAUAUUUAUAUUUAUUUAUUAAUUAUUUGACUUCCGUAAAACCGUCCACUCGUAACGGUGUAGCAAAUUUUCUUCCUGGAAGUUUCAACAAAACUCACCUUUAGCCUAAUUUGAAUAUUCCGGACAUUUUUCGUGUUUUGACUUUUUCAAUCCGGAGUACGGUUUUCCCCGGAGUCGGUCCGGCGGAGUUUUUCGGGUAUUUUAAUUGUUGAUAAUUAUCUAGUUUGCCUCGAAAUACGUGAAAGCUAGAUAUUUUGAUUAUUAUAUUACUUUUUAUCGAAAUACGUGCAAAUGGGACCCCCAGACCAAUGAUUGAUUUAAAAUGCCCCAUUUUGAUGAUUAUCUUGAAAACCAGUACCGAUUGGACCCUGCUUUAUUAAUAUAAAGCUACUAAAUAUGUAUUUUCAUGUCAUAAACGAUCUAAAGGGGUACCAAUUAUUUGUAAAUAUAAAUAGACCUUUCUAGAGCUUAUUUUCACCCGUAAAAUCAUUUCACCAGUUUCUUUCCACGAAUACCGAGAGAAAUCGAGCGGUGUUCUUCGUGUUCUUCAUAAUCAAACGAAGAUUUGAAGGUGUUAUUGGAGUCAGAAUCAAGCGUGCAAAUAGUCAAAUCGAAGAUAUCGAAGAGUAGAACCCAAAUCAAUCAUCAAAAACAACAUGAGAUUCACAGGAUUUGGACGAGACGUGGAUGACCGAAGAAGUUCAGAAGGACAAGUGGUGUUCCAAAGCGAAUAAAGAAUGAGUCGAGUAAGCGAAGUGGUGUGGCGAAUAGGGUAUAGCCAGAGAUGGUCUAGAGACUAUGAUAUGCAUAGAGUAUGAGAUUGGAAAGAUGAGAUAGAGAUGUGAGACUGGAGUCAGAUUUAAGAAAGGCUUAAAGAUGAGAUGAUUGAUUGAGAUUGUGAGUAAGGCUAAUGCUAGGCGAGGAGACAGAGUUGAGGAUCCAGUGGUCGAGGAGUGUUCAGGAAAGUUGAUGAGGUUGGUGCAAGCUGGAAUAGUUGACAGUGAUUCUUCUUAUCGAAGAUGAUCUGAUUUGGUAAGAGAAGUUGUGUAAUAUUAGUGGUGGAUUCUAAUUUCAAUACUGUAACCUGGAUGCGAUCCUGUUGCUUUUAGGGGGUUUAAAUGUUCUCUUUCGAAUCAUUUAUUAAAGUUUAAAUGUUCUCUUGAAAUUCUCCUAUUAUGGCUUUCAAGUUUGAAAUUCAGGUUUUGAAAUCAUUCGAUUUAUGUUCUCAUUCAAAUCUUUUAUUAAAUGUUUUCAGGUUUUAAAUUCUUUGGUUUUAUUAUCUUUAUAAAAAAAAAUACAGGUUUUCAAAGUGUUUUAAAAUGGUUUUUGUGUGGUGACGUCAGAAUCCAGGCCCCCGGAUUCCUGGACCGUCACAGUUGGUAUCAGAGCCACAGGCUAUAAGUAUUUGAAAUUAGAAUAUAGAUCAUAGUUAUAGGUUUUCUAGAGAAGAAUGCGGUGUAACCUCACAUAGAGAUAUGGUUGGACUAUUUAGGAAUAGUCUAGAGAUGUGAGUGAAGAAUAGAGUUUAGUUAGUUGAUCAAGUUAAGUGUGGAUAUUUAAAGAGAUUAGGAUUCUUAAGUUUAGACAUAUGAUUUCUAGUAUGUUGAUUAAUUGAGAUGGUGAAUUGUGGAAAAGGUCAGUAUUAGACCUAUAUAGAAGAGUGUGAUAGUGAAUGAUUGAGUUGAGAAUGGUGAAAAUGCAGAGUUCAGAGUAUUCUGACUAUACUGCAUAUUUGAAAUUGGAUUAUUGUAUUGAUUUGAGAAUGAUAAAGAUGCAUGGUUCAUAGUAUGUUGACCAUGUCAGAUAUUUGGAAGAGGUAUAUGGUGUUAGUGAGAUAUGAAGAGUUAGUGUAAGAUAUGAGUUGUACUGAAUUAGGAGGAGAGAUUUGUAGAUAGAAGUUGAUAGAUGAGAAGUGCAUGAUAGGGAGUAUAUGGAGUUGAGUCCAGUUGUUAGAGGUGAUGUGUGCAAGUAAGUUAGAACGUUAAUUCUCGACGACGAUGUUUUAAGUUAAGUGGGACAAGGUGGGCCCAUAACCCACAGGGCGACGAUUCAGAAAAUCGAAGAUAUGCUACGUGUUGUGUUAUGGACUUCAAAGGCAACUGGAUGAAGCAUGAGAACGUGAACUACUUGGGCCAGACUUAUUACGAACGAUAACGUCUACGAUGACAUAUUACGAGGCUAUUACGAGUCAAAUCGAUUGAUUAUCGAGAACGUUGAAAAGAUGACAUAAAUCGAAUAAACGAUUUUGUAAAGUAGAGUGAGAAUUUGAGAAGACCUUGGCAAUACCUCUCUUCAACUAAAGAUUCUUUUGAUUGUUUUCUCAUCAGUGAGAUAUUAUCAUGAUAUCUUUUCUACAAAAGUUUUGAUAAAUGAGAUCUUCAAUUUCUCAAAUUCUAAGAUGACAUUGAUAUUGAUUAUUGGUAUGAGUUGGAAAGCAAAGAUGUGUGAUAAAGGUUUGUUGUGAAGAGAUAGUGAUGUUCCUUGAUAUUGUUUGACAUUUCUUGACAUUCCUUGAUACCCUUUCAUCUACCUUGAUAUCCCUUAGUGUUCUUUGAUAUUGUUGAUAUUCCUUGAUAUUCUCUGGUAUUCCUUAACAUUUCUUCAAUUUGAUUGGGAUGAACAACCCUAUUUAUAGGGGACACAAGGUAUACCUGUCUGUGUGAUAGGAGUUGGAUGGGACGCCAUCACUUGUGUGUGUUGUGAUUACAAGAAGGUUAAAAACCUUUAGUAGUGUCUAAUAUGGACACGCAACAUGAAGUUCAUUUGAUCGUAUUGAUCUCCCAGUCACUCUUGUAUUCCAAUGUGACCUAUUUUGAAAAUAUCUGGUUCCUCCGAAAUUCCCAAAGAUUGAUUCUUGGGAAAUGAAGUUUGCAAGUGUGAAGGUUUUGAUUCUCCUAUUUCUUUAACUUUGAAGGUAUGCCAAAGUUGAUCAAAGGCAGAUGAGCAUGUGAUAUUAUGAAGCGUGUAUAAUGAUCUUAUAAAUGAUACGUUUUAGUUCUCAUCGCGGAUUCUGAGGACAGAAUCCUAAUAAGGGGGGUAGAAUGUAAUAUCCCAUAUUAUUAAAAUUUAGAUUUGAUUAUUGUAAAUCUAUUUGUCUAAAUAUUGUUGUUGGCUUUAAUUGAAAAGUGAAUUGACUAUGUGAAUAGUUCUAUGUGAUGAUACUUGUUCUAUGGAUUAAUAUGGAUUAUACUGAUUAUGCGUCCUCCUUCUAUUUCUGAUUCCGAGGACGGAAUCCCUAUAAGGAGGGUAGAUUGUAAUGACCCGGAUUUUUAAAAAUAUUUUUAUUAGUAUUAAAAGUGAUUUUCUUCAAAGAAGGGAAUAAGAUUUAAUAUUUUAUUACAGUUUAAUGAGUUUUCAAGGUUUUAUAUUUAAACCCCGGGUUAUUGUGUUAUUGAUAAAUAAUUGUACUUUCAAAACUGAUUUUCAUAUAUUGUUUUGAAAAUUCUGUAUGAAUAUUAUGUGAAUAUAUGUGUGAUGUGAGUAAGUGGUAUUGGUGGAUUUGUUGGUUAAUUAAUUUUGGUUAAUUAUGAGUAUUAUAUGAUUAAUAUAUGAAUUUUUGUGAAUUUUAUAUUAUCUGGUUUAUUGCGUUAACUGCUCAUAUGUGUUCGUAUUUGAGAGAUUUCAAUUUCUAUAUGCUCAGGAGAAAAUAUAGUUUAUUUGGAUAUUUUCAUAUCGAUUUAUGGAAUGUUAGAUGAUUUUAUAAUCGAUUUACGGAUUUAAUUGCGUAUAUUUAUAUUUAUUUAUUAAUUAUUUGACUUCCGUAAAACCGUCCACUCGUAACGGUGUAGCAAAUUUUCUUCCUGGAAGUUUCAACAAAACUCACCUUUAGCCUAAUUUGAAUAUUCCGGACAUUUUUCGUGUUUUGACUUUUUCAAUCCGGAGUACGGUUUUCCCCGGAGUCGGUCCGGCGGAGUUUUUCGGGUAUUUUAAUUGUUGAUAAUUAUCUAGUUUGCCUCGAAAUACGUGAAAGCUAGAUAUUUUGAUUAUUAUAUUACUUUUUAUCGAAAUACGUGCAAAUGGGACCCCCAGACCAAUGAUUGAUUUAAAAUGCCCCGUUUUGAUGAUUAUCUUGAAAACCAGUACCGAUUGGACCCUGCUUUAUUAAUAUAAAGCUACUAAAUAUGUAUUUUCAUGUCAUAAACGAUCUAAAGGGGUACCAAUUAUUUGUAAAUAUAAAUAGACCUUUCUAGAGCUUAUUUUCACCCGUAAAAUCAUUUCACCAGUUUCUUUCCACGAAUACCGAGAGAAAUCGAGCGGUGUUCUUCGUGUUCUUCAUAAUCAAACGAAGAUUUGAAGGUGUUAUUGGAGUCAGAAUCAAGCGUGCAAAUAGUCAAAUCGAAGAUAUCGAAGAGUAGAACCCAAAUCAAUCAUCAAAAACAACAUGAGAUUCACAGAAAGGCUUAAAGAUGAGAUGAUUGAUUGAGAUUGUGAGUAAGGCUAAUGCUAGGCGAGGAGACAGAGUUGAGGAUCCAGUGGUCGAGGAGUGUUCAGGAAAGUUGAUGAGGUUGGUGCAAGCUGGAAUAGUUGACAGUGAUUCUUCUUAUCGAAGAUGAUCUGAUUUGGUAAGAGAAGUUGUGUAAUAUUAGUGGUGGAUUCUAAUUUCAAUACUGUAACCUGGAUGCGAUCCUGUUGCUUUUAGGGGGUUUAAAUGUUCUCUUUCGAAUCAUUUAUUAAAGUUUAAAUGUUCUCUUGAAAUUCUCC